AUUGACCUCGGAUCAGGUAGGAAUACCCGCUGAACUUAAGCAUAUCAAUAAGCGGAGGAAAAGAAACCAACAGGGAUUGCCCUAGUAACGGCGAGUGAAGCGGCAACAGCUCAAAUUUGAAAUCUGGCCCCCCCGGGCCCGAGUUGUAAUUUGCAGAGGAUGUUCUCUGGCGCGGUGCCUUCCGAGUUCCCUGGAAUGGGACGCCACAGAGGGUGAGAGCCCCGUACGGUCGGACUAACCAAGCCUGUGUGAGACUCCUUCGACGAGUCGAGUAGUUUGGGAAUGCUGCUCUAAAUGGGAGGUAAAUCUCUUCUAAAGCUAAAUACUGGCCAGAGACCGAUAGCGCACAAGUAGAGUGAUCGAAAGAUGAAAAGCACCUUGAAAAGGGGGUUAAACAGUACGUGAAAUUGUUGAAAGGGAAGCGCUCCUGACCAGAAACUUGGGCCGGGCGGCUCAGCAGGGGCUCGCCCCCUGUGUACUCCGUCCCGGUUCCGGGCCAGCAUCGGUUCUCGCUGGGGGACAAGAACGGUGGGAACGUGGCCCCCCCCUCGGGGGGGUGUUAUAGCCCGCCGUAACGAUACCCUGGUGGGGACCGAGGAUUCCGCGCUUCGGCAAGGAUGCUGGCAUAAUGGUCAUCAGCGACCCGUCUUGAAACACGGACCAAGGAGUCGUCCAUUAGAGCGAGCGUUUGGGUGUCAAAACCCGUAGCGCGUAAUGAAAGUGAAAUUCUAGGUGAGAACCUCCUCGCGGGGGCGCAUCAUCGACCGAUCCUGAUGUUCUCGGACGGAUUUGAGUAAGAGUUUUAACGGACGGACCCGAAAGACAGUGAACUAUGCUUGUAUAGGGUGAAGCCAGAGGAAACUCUGGUGGAGGCUCGCAGCGGUUCUGACGUGCAAAUCGAUCGUCAAAUAUGAGCAUGGGGGCGAAAGACUAAUCGAAC
Molecule: ribosomal RNA, 940 nt
Filed under: Melanconiella hyperopta var. orientalis
Lineage: Eukaryota; Fungi; Ascomycota; Sordariomycetes; Diaporthales; Melanconiellaceae
Description: eukaryotic LSU rRNA
Rfam family: Eukaryotic large subunit ribosomal RNA
Source: RNAcentral